UAUUGGUCAAUAGCCUAACGGCUGAACCAGCAACUUGGAGGAAUGUAUGGGGAAAACUGGUAAAAUGUGAUGUACCCAGUAAUAUUAGUAAUUAAUAUGAGAUUAACUAAGUUAAUUAAAAUUCUAAGUAGGUAUGUGAUAAUGACAAUAUCUGCUUAGGUCUUGACCAAGUCACGUGCCAGCAGUCGCGGUAAUACGUGGAAGACAAGUGUUAUUCAUCUUUAUUGGGUUUAAAGGGUACCUAGACGGUUAAUUAAGCAAUGAGAUGUACUAAUUAACUAGAGUUUAAUGUAAGAAGGAUUGAGUACGGUGAGUGUAGAGAUAAAAUUCUUUGAUACCACUUAGGAACUGGUAACGGCGAAGGCGACCUUCAAUGUAAAAACUGACGUUGAAGGACGAAGGA
Molecule: ribosomal RNA, 403 nt
Filed under: Ocellularia terebrata
Lineage: Eukaryota; Fungi; Ascomycota; Lecanoromycetes; Ostropales; Graphidaceae
Description: SSU rRNA
Rfam family: Bacterial small subunit ribosomal RNA
Source: RNAcentral